RNAcentral lists this ribosomal RNA (440 nucleotides) under uncultured bacterium. RNAcentral describes it as "bacterial SSU rRNA". It matches the Rfam family "Bacterial small subunit ribosomal RNA", at positions 340 to 771 of the family's 1533-position model. The record is from RNAcentral.
UACGGAAGGCAGCAGGGGGGAAUAUUGGACAAUGGGCGCAAGCCUGAUCCAGCCAUGCCGCGUGUGUGAAGAAGGCCUUCGGGUUGUAAAGCACUUUUGUCCGGAAAGAAAAGCUUAGGGUUAAUAACCUUGAGUCAUGACGGUACCGGAAGAAUAAGCACCGGCUAACUUCGUGCCAGCAGCCGCGGUAAUACGAAGGGUGCAAGCGUUACUCGGAAUUACUGGGCGUAAAGCGUGCGUAGGUGGUUUUGUUAAGUCUGAUGUGAAAGCCCUGGGCUCAACCUGGGAAUGGCAUUGGAAACUGGCUUACUAGAGUGCGGUAGAGGGGUGUGGAAUUCCCGGUGUAGCAGUGAAAUGCGUAGAUAUCGGGAGGAACAUCUGUGGCGAAGGCGACACCCUGGACCAGCACUGACACUGAGGCACGAAAGCGUGGGGAGCAA